AUCAAAUAAAUAUUUUCAAAUUAUAAGCUACACAAUUUUUUCAUCGAGACAAAUUUCGUUUGAAACAGAUUAAUAAUGUUUCAGAAUCGCUAUUUAAUCCGCAAUUAAACUUUCUGGUAAAUAAAAAAUUGUCGUGUUGACGUAAUCAGUGACAUCAGUUUGAUUGAAUAGGUACAAUCUUUAUUAUGUGCAGCAUACUUUAACGUUAUUAUAUACAAAUUACAAUGUUGUUGGUGAGCGGUGACGGCGACCGUGGAAAAUAAGUUUUUUCCUCCGUAACUAGGUAACGCUAGUUUUGUAGAUUAAUAAUAUGCAAAUUUAUAAUAUCCGUUGUGCUAGUACAUCGGAAGCAAUCAGCUUAGCUCGUUAGAUUGGUGAGUUAGCAUUUUUUCCGCAUAGACUAGGUGAUCCAGUCGCGUUCAUUUAAUCGUCGCUAUGAACGACCCGUGGGAUGUGAAAUCGGUGCGACAGUCCGGACAGUAUGUAUCCUGCAUGAAGAUUAAUGGUGUGCCUCUUCUACCGCCUGUCCUAUCAAAAGAAUGUCGCAAAGAGAUGCAGUACUACAAACUUUUGGCCAAAGAAGUCGAAAAGCGAAUAUCAUUGCUUCAGCCCUAUAUAGCUGAAAGUGAAUCGGAAUCUAGCGAAGACAGGACCGAUGCGCCAGAGAUUCCAGAAUCUGAGGAAAUACAAACUGAAUGCAAAAUAACGAGCGUUUUAAGCGAUGAAGUUUACGAAAAAGCACUUAAAGAAUCACCGAAAGCACAGCCAAAUGUUUGCAAUACGAUAAAUUCUAGUGUCACAGUACUUGAAAGGACGAAAUCACCAAAAUUUAGGAUCGAUUUAAAUCUAAAUAUAAGCGGCACAGCUAAAAAUUUUCUCGAUAAAGACACUGAAACAAUACGUUGUAUUUCGGAACCAGUAGAGCUACCAGAACGGGAUUAUGACUGUAAUAAAGUUAAUGUUAAAAGACAAGCUAUUGAAUUUGAAGAUAUCAAUAACGAUAAAACAGUUGCCAAAUUAAAUUUUAUAAUUGGUUCAGAUAAAAAUGUUGAAGAGCCGUUUCCUGAUUUGCCUUCGGCACAAGACGGACCGCCUUCUCUUAGUUCUAAAAGCUUCACGGGAUCCCUUAACGAUAUACAUACAGAUAGUUUGAAAGAGUCACAAAUAGUACCUAAACUCACCCGUCAAAGAUCGUACACGCUUUUAAAACCGAGUCCGCAACUACUAGCGCAUUUAGAAGUAGAAUCUUUGAACACUGGAGUCGAAAUGAGCUGCAUUUCUAUGAGCGAAUCGUUGUCGAACUUGAGCGCACCAAAUAAAAAACGCAGAAGUUGGGAUUUAGAAACUGCUAAAGUCAAGUGGUCGUCCAUGGCGAUGGAAUUAAAACAAAAGAAUGUAUCAAAAACGUCUAGCCUGAACUGCGUGAACAGAGUCAAUAAUUCAAGAGCUGUGUCCAAGAAACCAUCACAGGUUUCACCUCCGCGUGCUAGAUCUGUGGUUGCAGAAAGACCUGGAAGAAUGAGCUCUAAAUCUUCGCCUAAAUCAGAACCUAUUCAAAAACCAAAAAAAUCACUUAGUCCUGUAAGGAAUAGCGUUAACAUUAAUGCAAUGAAGGAGGCGUCUCCCAAAACAGCAAAACAAAAUGUAGACCCAGUGAAUCAACAACCCCAGCAAUUAAUUUCGGAAUCACAAGAUCCAGCAACAAGAGUAAGGGAACUUUACGAGAAAAUUCAAAAGCAACAAUUACUUCAAAUGGCUAGUUUAGUGGAAAAGCAGAAAAGGGAACAACAAUUGCUUCAACAGGUCUUUGAAGAUCAGAAUAACUUGUUGUACAAGCAACUUAAAAUGAUAAGCCCUAAAUCACCAAUUGAAAUCAAAGAGGAGAGUAAUCAAGAUGUUUCGAAUAAACCAGUUAGUUUAAGUCAGUUGAUCAACCCUAAAUCGCCUGAAAUUAUUUCAUACGAUAGCUCUGUAUCAUCUACUCUUACCGACACAAACAACUACAUCAAUCGUUGCGAAGAUAUAUUAAGACAAAGCAGAGAUAUAACUGGGAGUAUUAAGAAGCAAAAUGGAACAAAAACGCAGUCACCUAGACCUGAUUCGGAAGGUAGUAGAACCAGAACUCACUCUCCAAGUCGCAGGAGUACAUCCAGAAAGCUGAAUUAUGACACUAGCGCGUCGUCUGAUCGCGAUUACGAACAAAUACUGACAGAUCGAACGAACGAUACGAUGGCGGACUUAAACGUCACCUUCCCUUCUGACAACAGCGAAGAAUUCAAUUACAAUAAUACAGUUUUGAAUCACAUGUGCGGCGUGGAAGUAAACGUUACCGCAACUCAUACUCCUAGAUCCAGAGAGGGUGCUAUCAGGAGUAUGGACCAUACUCUUCAAAGUUCGAUGUGCGCAUUACGGAAGCCCAAAUCCAAAAUUAUCAAUAGUCAGCCCACAGCCAGAGAGAGGGCUGCGGCCACGAAGAUUGUUUCGUACGCCAAGGGCUAUCUCGUUCGGCGUCUGAUGAGGACCGAGCGGGUCCGGGGCAUCGUGCAGACGAUCAAGGACGCCCUGCUGUGCGCCCUGCAACUCCACCAGGAGAGGGAGGGCAUCAGGGGAGCGGACGUGGAUCUGCACCGACGGCUCAUACAGCAGAUCACUGCAGCUUGUUACUCGUUACACGACACCUUCAUAACGAGCAGUCCGUCGGAGAGGUGCGCCAUGAUCGCCGCCGAUCGCAAGAGGAAGGCUCUCGCCAACCGCCCCUCGCCCAGGUCCUUCAGACAAACGGACAUCAUGUCGCAAAGCCACACCGGCGCGUUCCCGACUCGCUACAAACGCGCACCCGGAGCGGCGGUCAUGACACAGUCCCACUAUGGUAACACCGACUAAAUGUUGCCAGCUUGAAGCAUUGUGUUGCCAUGUACAGCUUUAUACAAACAAACAAAAAAUAGACGUUUAGCGGCCAGUGCACCCCGGGACCGAGGUGGAGCCCCCGGCGUCGGCCGUGGCGCUGACCCGCCCCGCCGCGGACUUGCAUGCCGCGGCUUUUCGCCCACUGUCUGUCUAAUAAAUACGAUCUAUGAACUGAAAAUUUUUAAUAUUUUAAAAUUUACAAAAUGGCUAAUUUAUGUAAUUUGGUCUAGAAGAUAAAUUAAAUUGGGCUGCCUUAUUAUUAACUAAAUAUAUUUUAAAAUUGCCAGCUUAAGGUAAGUAUUUUGAGUCAGACGCUGGUAACACUGCAGACAUUUUGAACUUUUAUGAC
Bombyx mandarina (wild silkworm) is the source of this 3256-nucleotide RNA transcript. It is a transcript of the gene named Centriolar coiled coil protein 110kDa, with no coding region annotated. The record is from RefSeq and is a predicted model, not a curated record. Lineage: Eukaryota; Metazoa; Arthropoda; Insecta; Lepidoptera; Bombycidae.